RNAcentral lists this ribosomal RNA (253 nucleotides) under uncultured bacterium. RNAcentral describes it as "partial 16S ribosomal RNA". It matches the Rfam family "Bacterial small subunit ribosomal RNA", at positions 524 to 776 of the family's 1533-position model. The record is from RNAcentral.
UACGUAGGGUGCAGGCGUUAAUCGGAAUUACGGGGCGGAAAGCGUGCGCAGGCGGUCUUUUAAGUCAGAUGUGAAAUCCCCGGGCUUAACCUGGGAACUGCGUUUGAAACUGGAAGGCUUGAGUGUGGCAGAGGGGGGUGGAAUUCCACGUGUAGCAGUGAAAUGCGUAGAGAUCAGGAGGAACACCCGUGGCGAAGGCGGCUCUCUGGGUCCGCCCUGACGCUGAGGCGCGAAAGCGUGGGGAGCGAACGGG